RNAcentral lists this ribosomal RNA (254 nucleotides) under uncultured bacterium. RNAcentral's name for it is "partial 16S ribosomal RNA". It matches the Rfam family "Bacterial small subunit ribosomal RNA", at positions 524 to 776 of the family's 1533-position model. The record is from RNAcentral.
GACGAACCAAGCGAACGUUAUUCGGAAUUACUGGGCUUAAAGCGCGUGUGGGCGGAUGACCACGUCGAUUGUUGAAAUCCCCCGGCUCAACCGGGGAACUGGCGUCGAUACGAGUUGUCUGGAGGUGGGUAGGGGAGACUGGAACUUCCGGUGGAGCGGUGAAAUGCGUUGAGAUCGGAAGGAACGCCCGCGGCGAAAGCGAGUCUCUGGACCCAUACUGACGCUGAGACGCGAAAGCCAGGGGAGCAAACGGG